GAUCUAGUAGCUUAGUUGGUUAGAGUGUCGUGUUAAUAACACGAAAGUUAUAGGUUUGAUUCUUAUUUGAGCCA
Molecule: non-coding RNA, 74 nt
Organism: Glycine soja
Lineage: Eukaryota; Viridiplantae; Streptophyta; Magnoliopsida; Fabales; Fabaceae
Source: Rfam